This 781-nucleotide ribosomal RNA is filed under the name uncultured Neocallimastigales. RNAcentral describes it as "partial large subunit ribosomal RNA". It matches the Rfam family "Eukaryotic large subunit ribosomal RNA", at positions 23 to 646 of the family's 3401-position model. The record is from RNAcentral. Lineage: Eukaryota; Fungi; Neocallimastigomycota; Neocallimastigomycetes; Neocallimastigales.
AGAGAGAGACAUGCGCGCAUAUCAAUAAGCGGAGGAAAAGAAACUAACUAGGAUUCCCCUCAGUAACGGCGAGUGAAGCGGGAAGAGCUCAAAUUUGAAAUCUUCAAGGGUUCUACCUUGACGAAUUGUAGUUUAAAGAAGUGUUUUCUGUUGAAGGUUUUGGUAAAAGUUCUUUGGAAUAGGACAUCAUAGAGGGUGAGAAUCCCGUAUUUGACCAUUAUUUCCAGCUUUGUGAUACACUUUCAAAGAGUCGGAUUGUUUGGGAAUGCAGUCCAAAAUGGGUGGUAAAUUUCAUCUAAAGCUAAAUACUGGCGAGAGACCGAUAGCGAACAAGGUACCGUGAGGGAAAGAUGAAAAGAACUUUGAAAAGAGAGUUAAACAGUACGUGAAAUUGUCAAAAGGGAAGCGUUUGACACCAGUGUUGUUUUUCUCGAAAAUCAAUUAAAAAGGCAGGAUUUUGUGUCGUAUUGACUUUAAUCAGCUUCUGCACUUCAUUUUCUUGUCUUUUUUUAAUGCACUUUUCGUUUAACAAGUCAACAUCAGUUUCUUUUGUUGUAAAAGGGUCAUUGGAAGGUGGCUUUCUUUUCGGAGAAAGUGUUUAUAGCCUUUGCCUCUGCAAUCGGAGAGAUUGAGGUCUGCAGCGUAGAUCCUUCGGGGUUAGAUACAUUUGUGCUAAGUUAUAGCCUUUUCAUAGACAACUUGUUGACUAUGAUCAGUCAUGUAGCUUACUCGCUUAUGCUAUUUUACCUACGCUUAGGAUGUUGAUGUGAUACUGCGAGCA